Molecule: ribosomal RNA, 528 nt
Filed under: Bifidobacterium catenulatum
Lineage: Bacteria; Bacillati; Actinomycetota; Actinomycetes; Bifidobacteriales; Bifidobacteriaceae
Description: bacterial SSU rRNA
Rfam family: Bacterial small subunit ribosomal RNA
Source: RNAcentral
GGUAAUGCCGGAUGCUCCGACUCCUCGCAUGGGGUGUCGGGAAAGAUUUCAUCGGUAUGGGAUGGGGUCGCGUCCUAUCAGGUAGUCGGCGGGGUAACGGCCCACCGAGCCUACGACGGGUAGCCGGCCUGAGAGGGCGACCGGCCACAUUGGGACUGAGAUACGGCCCAGACUCCUACGGGAGGCAGCAGUGGGGAAUAUUGCACAAUGGGCGCAAGCCUGAUGCAGCGACGCCGCGUGCGGGAUGACGGCCUUCGGGUUGUAAACCGCUUUUGAUCGGGAGCAAGCCUUCGGGUGAGUGUACCUUUCGAAUAAGCACCGGCUAACUACGUGCCAGCAGCCGCGGUAAUACGUAGGGUGCAAGCGUUAUCCGGAAUUAUUGGGCGUAAAGGGCUCGUAGGCGGUUCGUCGCGUCCGGUGUGAAAGUCCAUCGCUUAACGGUGGAUCUGCGCCGGGUACGGGCGGGCUGGAGUGCGGUAGGGGAGACUGGAAUUCCCGGUGUAACGGUGGAAUGUGUAGAUAUCGGAA